CCAAAUUCCCCACCACCGCCACACUCACAGCCCCCGCCUCCACCACCAGUUUAUUCUUCACCACCGCCUCCUGUCAAUUCUCCACCUCCCCCAUAUCACUCUCCUCCACCUCCCCCAUAUCACUCUCCUCCACCUCCAUCACCCCCACCUUGUAUAGAACCGCCUCCACCUCCACCACCAUGUGUAGAGUAUUCACCCCCCCCACCCCCUCAAUCGCCCCCCCCACCUUCUCCACCAUCACCAGUGUAUUCUCCUCCACCGCCUCCUACUCCACCUCCCCCACAAUCAUCACCGCCACCACCACCAUCCCUGUCUCCCCCGCCGCCUCCUACACCACCCCCACCAUCUCCGUUACCUCCAUGUGUACGUUCCCCACCACCGCCUCCACCAAAUUCACCACCACCUCCAUCACCAAUAUUCUCCCCACCACCACCUAUUCCUUACUAUUAUAACUCCCCACCACCCCCAUCACCUCCACAUUCGCCUCCACCUCCACAUUCGCCUCCACCACCAGUUUAUCCUUACUUAUCACCUCCACCACCACCUCCUGUCAAUUCUCCACCUCCCCCAGUUUAUUCAUCACCGCCUCCACCCCCACCUUGUAUAGAACCGCCUCCACCUCCACCUCCACCAUGUAUAGAGUAUUCACCACCUCCACCCCCACCUUCAUCGUCACCGCCUCCUCCUAUACAUUAUAAGCCAC
RNAcentral lists this long non-coding RNA (703 nucleotides) under Populus trichocarpa (black cottonwood). RNAcentral describes it as "long non-coding RNA (PTRI_LNC004011)". The record is from RNAcentral. Lineage: Eukaryota; Viridiplantae; Streptophyta; Magnoliopsida; Malpighiales; Salicaceae.